Long non-coding RNA from Rhipicephalus microplus (southern cattle tick), 98 nucleotides. The record is from RefSeq and is a predicted model, not a curated record. Lineage: Eukaryota; Metazoa; Arthropoda; Arachnida; Ixodida; Ixodidae.
UGCGAGAGCUGUUCGACGCGGCCCGGCAGAUAAUGAAGAUGCGGAUUGAACUGGCGGAACUUGCAUCAGAGAAGUCUACGGCGCUGCAUCAUAGGACG